GUACUAUAGCGUACUUUUUAAGCUCAUAAAAACAAAAAAAUAAGGUUAAAAACUCUGUGUACCUGUCAGAGAGGGUUCAAAAUAAAACCCUUUAGGAACGCUAAAUAAACUUGAGGAACCGUGUGCGUAAACUUUUCAGCAGACUUGACAGACUUUCUUAUAAAAUCCAAUAUAGUAAAUAAUUUGUAAUAUAAUUACAGGAGUAUAAAAUUUGUUCAAUUCUUUAUAGACCUACAAAAACUCCCAACAACAACAGAUGUGUAGCACAUAGACUUUGUGGUGGUCUCCUAACCUGUGUCCGGCGCACGAAACACGGAUGUGGUGAGGUUCAGUUUGAAACAGGAAGUAGCACUUCUCGCCCUGUACUUUUUUUUUAUCAGACCUUGAGACCUGAGACUGGAAGCAAUUGCAAUGGGCACACACUGACACGCUGUUUAAGAAGGAGUCUCCAGUGUCAGCACUUUUGAACAGUCAGUAAGUUUUCCUCCACUGGAAAGUCUUGAGAGCAGAGGGCUUUGUGCUUUCUGGUUUCUUUGUAACAUGACAAGCUGUGGUUUUCUUGUCAAAUAACUUCGAGAGGGAAAAAAAGGCUGUUAUGAUUGAGGUCACAAGCCUGCAAGGUGCUGUCCUUGCCUUCCUGUCUGUCUCCACCGUGAGCUUCAUCUGUGCUCUCUGCAUACGCUGUAGGAAGAAAACUAUGAUUGUACAGGAGAGUAACCAACUCUAUGUUCCACAAAUAUUGUAAGAUGUCUGAGAUUAUUUUUUUCUGGUGAAUUUAUUACAGCAUUGUGCCAUUGCCAUUUCUUUGUUAACACACAAUAGUCAUCUCUCUUACUCAGGAUGAACUCGUGUUAACACAUCUGGUGUUAAGCAUGUAAUUGCAUGUCCAUCACAACCUUGAGACAGCUUUCUGAUCCAGCCAUGAGAAUGCUUUCAAUACGUUGAAAAGUUCUGGAAGUCAUUUAGAUAGAAAGUGUUCAUUUCCCCUAUGUAUGGAGACUUUGGGGACACAAUGUAUUAUAGUCUUUAAUAAAUAAUUGAUCUUUUUUGUUCUCAUUUAAAUGCUAUAUGUGUAAAUGAUAGAGCAAGAUAAAGGUUUAUAUUGUUUUAUUCUGGCUUUAUCCAGUCACCGAGGGGGGAGCAAAUUUGCUGUGACAAGGUCAAAAACAGUGACGAGAACUAACCAGAUGAGCACAAAUCCGUGUCAGAGUUCGGGGGAAAUAACUGUCGCACACACACCUAAGAGCCAGCUGGAGACAGCUGUCCAGGACCAGGGGGGCAGUUACGAGAACAUUAAACAAUCAAUUCAUGGUAGUAUGGAACCCACCUAUGUAGAUCCAAUAUCAACACCGCCACACAAUAACAAUGUUUUACAUGAUGAUGACAUCGGAGACUACGCAAAUAUUUUUCCAACGCAAGAUGUUCAACAUGACUCAGACAGUUACGAUUAUGAAAACACAGAAUUCCUGCAAAACAGCAAACCUGACGACGAUGAUGAGCCAGAUUACGUCAACGCAGACACGGCUAACAACUAACACAUAAAUAAAGUUUUACACUGUUAUCCAAGUUAGAUUAAAUAAGUAUUAGAAUAUAUUGGCAUAUUUAAUAGCACAGAAGCAAUGUAGUAUCAAUGAAUUGAAUGCUUCAUGGUUUGCAUGUUGGUCUUAUUUGAACUUUUAGUAUAACUUUUAGAUCCAUGUAAUAAAGGCACGUCAUUGUGUGUGAAGAGUAAGCAAAUUUCUUUUUAUGGAAUGAGAAACAGUAUAAUCGAUGUUUUAAGUGCCACUACAUUGAAAAUAAAAUCUUCCUGAUUUUGGUUUGAGUAGUAAUGACCAUUUCCUAAUAUUUCUCUUUAUAUUACUUUAUAAUAUUUAAUUAUAUGUAUAUUAUUUUAAUAUUCUAUUAUAUGAUGUGAUGCACUCAUGAUAUUUUGUGUUCAUUAUCAUAUCUGGAUAUCUGUAGUUUUCCUGCAAAUAAAAUUCCCCAAGUAUGGAACUUGAUUUACAUCAUUAUUACUGUUUAUCAUCUCAGCAACUAUAAUGAACUUAUGUUUGGAUUUUAAAAUAAAUGCUGCAACAUGGUGACCUAUGCUGCACAUUUCUACCAUCGCAACUUAAUACACAUUUUAGACGGUUUUGUCAAUUCUUGCUUGUAGAUGUAAAUGUAAAGAUUAUGGCAGCACUUGUUACAACACGUUUGUCCUUUAAUUAGAAUAAAAUCC
This is a long non-coding RNA of Ictalurus punctatus (channel catfish), 2221 nucleotides long. NCBI's taxonomy places the organism in Eukaryota, Metazoa, Chordata, Actinopteri, Siluriformes, Ictaluridae. The record is from Ensembl.